GCCCGCUUGGCCCAGUGGUAAGGCGUGUCACUCGUAGAAAGUGUGUUAUGUCACAUACGAAGUGUAUGACAAGAUCAGUUGUUCGAAUCAGCUAGUGGGCA
Non-coding RNA from Mycena maculata, 101 nucleotides. The record is from the annotation of a GenBank genome assembly. Lineage: Eukaryota; Fungi; Basidiomycota; Agaricomycetes; Agaricales; Mycenaceae.